RNAcentral lists this ribosomal RNA (253 nucleotides) under uncultured bacterium. RNAcentral describes it as "partial 16S ribosomal RNA". It matches the Rfam family "Bacterial small subunit ribosomal RNA", at positions 524 to 776 of the family's 1533-position model. The record is from RNAcentral.
UACGUAGGCAGCAAGCGUUGUUCGGAAUUACUGGGCGUAGAGAGUGUGUAGGCGGUGCUCCAAGUCUGGUGUGAAAUCUCCCGGCUCAACUGGGAGGGUGCGCUAGAAACUGGAAUGCUAGAGGAUGGGAGAGGUAAGCGGAAUUCCUGGUGUAGCGGUGAAAUGCGUAGAUAUCAGGAGGAACACCUGUGGUGUAGACAGCUUACUGGACCAUUUCUGACGCUGAGACACGGAAGCGUGGGUAGCAAACAGG